CCAUUUCCUUCACAUUCAUCUUCUCUUUCCCCAUGUGAGCAACUUGCGUCAUUAAAUCACACCACUGUAUCAUUAAAUCACAGGAGCAAACUGAGGCCCAGGGAGGGGCAUGCCUAAGGUGGCAGGCAAGUUCAUGCAAGACCCUAGAUGGCCCAGCUGCCUGGCCAGCGCGGCCCCUGCAGGCUUGGUGUAGAGGAGGCUGGAGCCACAGGGAGCCAGGGCAGAAGGGCAGCUGGGGCCCGCUCAGGGAGGCAGAGUAGCUGGGAGAACACUCUCUCCUCCCUCCCCACUUCCGGAAGGUGAGGGAGUCCCUGCUGGAACCUGGGCAGGCCUGGGUAGCAGACAGGGGAGCCUGCGGGCCUGUCCAGCAGCCAUGCCCUGGGGGUCCCUGAAGCUGCCUUGCUUCUUGCUCAGAACCCAAUUUCCAGGCACACGAGCGUUCAAACACUGCCCUCGAGGGACUCAGAGAGCGUGGACAUUUCUCAGGGAUCUCAGCGGAAAUGCUGUCAGCAGCAGACCUCAGCGGAGGAGGAGCUCCUCUCCUAGGCUGGGCCAGAGGAGAGGUGGGUGAACUUUAUCUCCAAACCUGGCCGAUCUCGGUGUCAGAGGCCUUCUGGGGGAAGGGCUUAGGGCCCAGGCCCUGCUGCUCAAGGACCCCGGUGGUGAUACUGCGUGGGGGCUUUUGGCCUGGUGGCGGGAAGAUUUCUCCCUGCUGCCCCUCCAUGGGCCCAGCCUCGGUGAGCGCAGCCUGGGGACCAAGCUGGGGACAGAGGCCAUGCUGCACCCCUGGCCCACCCUGGCCCCCACUGCACCCUUCAAACCUUGCCCUCCUUGACACCCACCUCUUUGGGGAACCAGCCUUGGGUUGGCUUCCCACCGGACAACCCCCAAGGCCAGGCCCCAGGCCUCCCCUGCAAGACCCCGGCCUCCCAGGAUCUGUGGGAUCCCCAACACCGUGUGGCCUCCCAUUUCCACAACGGCCCCAAGAGCUCAGUGCUCGGAGGUCACCAGGCACCCCUGCCAGGGGGGCUCCGGCAGCCCCAGUGCCCAGGACGGUCCCUUCCUCCAAAAUAAAUAUUUUUGUUAGA
RNA transcript from Chinchilla lanigera (long-tailed chinchilla), 1088 nucleotides. RefSeq lists it as uncharacterized. The transcript is spliced from 3 exons. The record is from RefSeq and is a predicted model, not a curated record. NCBI's taxonomy places the organism in Eukaryota, Metazoa, Chordata, Mammalia, Rodentia, Chinchillidae.